This 35-nucleotide transfer RNA is filed under the name Mutisia campanulata. Its description in RNAcentral is "partial tRNA-Phe". Lineage: Eukaryota; Viridiplantae; Streptophyta; Magnoliopsida; Asterales; Asteraceae. The record is from RNAcentral.
AUCUAGUAAAAUGAAAAUGAGGAUGAGACAUCAGG